CCCUUAGAUGUUCGGGGCCGCACGCGCGCUACAAUGGUCUUCGCAAACGGAUGCAUUCUCGAAGGAGAAUGCCAAUCUUGGAAUCUAUGCCUUGGUCGGGACAGUUGCUUGCAAUUUUUCGACUCGAACCAGGAAUUCCUUGUAAUCGUGAUUCAUCACAUCACGAUGAAUACGUCCCUGCCCUUUGUACACACCGCCCGUCGCUCCUACCGAUCGAAGAGUUAGGUGAAUUGUUUUGAUCGAUAAGAUUUGACUAUGGUCAACUCUCGUUGUGAAAUUCUGUGAAUCUGACUGUUUAGAGGAAGGAAAAGUCGUAACA
RNAcentral lists this ribosomal RNA (319 nucleotides) under uncultured eukaryote. RNAcentral's name for it is "partial 18S ribosomal RNA". It matches the Rfam family "Eukaryotic small subunit ribosomal RNA", at positions 1470 to 1796 of the family's 1831-position model. The record is from RNAcentral.